CCACAAAAAACAAUGCAUCAGCUUCAAAAAAGUGCAUGGACUAUGAAUAAAGUGAUGCUUCUAUAUGGGAGCCAUCAGAUCAUGGAGGAUCAUCUUUUGGGCUGACUAUGGUCAAAGUAUGGCUAUCUUUAACUUUGUUAAAAAUAUGAUCUUUAUUUAGCACCUUUUAGGUUGGAAAAGCAAGUAGCUUGUCACAUUGCCUUUCUCUUAGUACAUAUCUAACUUGGCCACCCAC
RNAcentral lists this long non-coding RNA (235 nucleotides) under Elaeis guineensis (African oil palm). RNAcentral's name for it is "long non-coding RNA (EGUI_LNC026909)". The record is from RNAcentral. Lineage: Eukaryota; Viridiplantae; Streptophyta; Magnoliopsida; Arecales; Arecaceae.